GACGAACGCUGGCGGCGUGCUUAACACAUGCAAGUCGAACGGAAAGGCCUCUUUCGGGGGGUACUCGAGUGGCGAACGGGUGAGUAACACGUGAGUAACCUGCCCUUGACUUUGGGAUAACUUCAGGAAACUGGGGCUAAUACCGGAUAGGAGCUCCUGCUGCAUGGUGGGGGUUGGAAAGUUUCGGCGGUUGGGGAUGGACUCGCGGCUUAUCAGCUUGUUGGUGGGGUAGUGGCUUACCAAGGCUUUGACGGGUAGCCGGCCUGAGAGGGUGACCGGCAAAAUGGGGAGUGAGAACCGACCCAGUCUCUUCGGGGGGGCAGAGGGGGGAAGUAUGGCAAAGUGGGUGGAGGCGUGACACAGCACCGCGGUGGGGGGGAUGCGGGCUUGGGGUUGGUAACCCGUUUUCGCUCGGGAGAAAGUUUUGUGGGGGGUAGGGGGAUAAAGAGCCACCGGCAAACUCGGUC
RNAcentral lists this ribosomal RNA (467 nucleotides) under uncultured bacterium. RNAcentral describes it as "partial 16S ribosomal RNA". It matches the Rfam family "Bacterial small subunit ribosomal RNA", at positions 28 to 507 of the family's 1533-position model. The record is from RNAcentral.